RNAcentral lists this transfer RNA (72 nucleotides) under Phrynosoma platyrhinos (Desert horned lizard). RNAcentral describes it as "tRNA-OTHER". The record is from RNAcentral. Lineage: Eukaryota; Metazoa; Chordata; Lepidosauria; Squamata; Phrynosomatidae.
GCCAGCCUGGUAUAGUGGUUUGAACAUAGGACUACAACUCUGGAGACCAGGGUUCAAAUCUCUGCUCAGCCA